RNAcentral lists this long non-coding RNA (1791 nucleotides) under Canis lupus familiaris (dog). RNAcentral's name for it is "lncRNA (ENSCAFG00845021766.1)". Lineage: Eukaryota; Metazoa; Chordata; Mammalia; Carnivora; Canidae. The record is from RNAcentral.
UUUUUUUUUUUUUUUUUUUUUAAUAAACUCUCUAUUGGUGCAAUUGAAAAUGGGCUAGAAAGUGGGAAUACUAGUGACAGGGAUACUAGUCAAAUUUUGACUCAGGAAUAUAUCCAUUGGCUCUCUGGCUAGUCGGCAUCAAGAGAAGUUAGUUUGAUGGUUAUUCUGGUCUCUGAUCAGGUGGGAAUCCCUCCACUAUUGUUUUGAGAAGCAAUAGCCUACCUACCAUCUCUGCAACUCUUUGGUGUCCAUAGUAUGGAAAUAAUAUUACAUAGUAAGAAAAAUGCAAGCACUGGAGUCAGACUAAGAUUUGAAUUCCAUCUGUACCACUGGUAGUUUUGUGAGUUUUGACACCCUCUCUAAGCUGAAGAUCCCUAGCCUGUAUGAUAGUGAUAAUAAUACCUCACGGAGCUACUGUGAGGACUAAAUUGACAUCUGUAAAGCAUCUAGCAAUAGGGUUGCCAUCUUUACAAAUUCCUUGUAGGGCACCAGAAUUUAAGAUAAUCCUUGCUGAGUGUCUUGCCCCUAUGGUAUAUUUUUAGAACGGCCGAGUGUUCUUUCUUAAACGUAAAUCCAAGCAUUUACACGACUGAAGACCCUAUAUAUGUGACCUUUGUCACCUGUUGUGUCUGACUCUUUUUUUUUUUUCCUUUGUCACCUGUUUAAUCUUAUUUACCUGCUUACUCUUGAACCUCAGUUAUUCUGGCUUCCCUUCUUUCGCAGUGCCUUGUUUAUAAGGUUGACCAUGAGAUCAGUCACCUAUCACUAUAGGACUACCUUUUAAUGGAUACCACCUUAAAAUGGGUCCUUUUAUUUAUUUUCGUUUUAAAGUUUUUGUGAGUUAAAAAAUAAAUAAAUAAAGUUUUUGUGAAAGAAAAUUUUAAACAUGGGACGCCUGGGUGGCUCAGUGGUUGAGGAUCUGCCUCCUGCUCGGAGCGUGAUCCUGGAGUCCUUGGAUUGAGUCCCCCAUCAGGCUCCCUGUGGGGAGCCUGCUUCUCUCUCUGCCUGUGUCUCUGCCUCUCUGUGUGUGUCUCUCAUGAAUAAAUAAAUAAAAUCUUUUUUAAAAAUUUUUAAAAAGAAAAAUUUAGGGAUCCCUGGGUGGCGCAAGCUAAACCGCUGGGCCACCCGGGCUGCCCACUGCUGGGUUUUAAUCUCAGCUUUACCAGUUGUGUUACCUGAGGCAAAGGACUCCCUCCCCCGACCCCAAGGGCAGACAGGCAGUUGGGGGAGAUAAGAGGAAAGUGGAAAAGGUAUAGUGACUUGCUUCUCCAGUGCUUCUGGGCAUGCCUAAAAAGUCAAGGGCCCAGAUCCUCCCUUGAGUAGUCCCUCUUGGAGAGGCUUGUAUUUUCUCCUAAAUCUUGCUUUUUCAGGAAAUAUACAUCAGGAUCUCAUACCAUUCUUUAGAAGUGAGCCAAGGCCUAAAUGAUGAUGAGAAGCUCUUCCUGUAAUUCUCUUAUUGAGAAAGCCUUCUUUUAUUGCUCUUUUCCAAGAUUGGUUUAUCUUUUCUGUUAAUUAGCACAGAUACCAUUCUGACUUUGAAUUUCAUAGUAUUUUAAAACUGUAAUUUUUCUUAGUAUUAUGAAGAUGACAGUGAUUUACAGUGGCCUGUGUUUUUAUCUGCUUUGCUGUCUUACGGUCUGGUGCCUUAAAGACAUUUUUAAUUUGCUAUUCGUAUCUGUUUUAAAAAGAAAAAAAGUGAAACCAUGCAGUGUCUGAAAAUUAGAGUCUAUUCAAGACCUUGCACAUGGCUGCCAGUCUUCCCCAUUCCAAGACCUUGCCACUUCAUUCACA